GUCCACGCUGUAAACGAUGGGCACUAGGUGUCGGGGGUAUCCACUCCCUCGGUGCCGCCGCUAACGCAUUAAGUGCCCCGCCUGGGAAGUACGGCCGCAAGGUUAAAACUCAAAGGAAUUGACGGGGCCCGCACAAGCGGUGGAGCAUGUGGUUCAAUUCGAUGCAACGCGAAGAACCUUACCUGGGUUUGACAUCUGGCGAAAUCUUCCCGAAAGGGAAGGGUGCCCGCAAGGGGAGCGCCAAGACAGGUGCUGCAUGGCUGUCGU
Molecule: ribosomal RNA, 267 nt
Filed under: uncultured bacterium
Lineage: Bacteria
Description: partial 16S ribosomal RNA
Rfam family: Bacterial small subunit ribosomal RNA
Source: RNAcentral